AGUGUAUCAAGAGUGUGGAGAUAUGAAGGGUUAUGGCCCGACGCUCCAUCGGCAACUUGCCCUUCCAUUUUGGUAAGGAUAAAGUGCCAAUUCCAGCCCCGCCCCGCGGGGAAAGAUACAAC
Molecule: non-coding RNA, 122 nt
Filed under: Candidatus Parcubacteria bacterium
Lineage: Bacteria; Candidatus Parcubacteria
Description: Parcubacteria bacterium SAM-I sequence
Rfam family: SAM riboswitch aptamer (S box leader)
About the family: The SAM riboswitch is found upstream of a number of genes which code for proteins involved in methionine or cysteine biosynthesis in Gram-positive bacteria. The SAM riboswitch acts at the level of transcription termination control. The predicted structure consists of a complex stem-loop region followed by a single stem loop terminator region.
Source: RNAcentral